AGUGAACGCUGGCGGUAGGCCUAACACAUGCAAGUCGAACGGCAGCACAGUAAGAGCUUGCUCUUACGGGUGGCGAGUGGCGGACGGGUGAGGAAUACAUCGGAAUCUACUUUUUCGUGGGGGAUAACGGAGGGAAACUUACGCUAAUACCGCAUACGACCUACGGGUGAAAGCAGGGGAUCUUCGGACCUUGCGCGAUUGAAUGAGCCGAUGUCGGAUUAGCUAGUUGGCGGGGUAACGGCCCACCAAGGCGACGAUCCGUAGCUGGUCUGAGAGGAUGAUCAGCCACACUGGAACUGAGACACGGUCCAGACUCCUACGGGAGGCAGCAGUGGGGAAUAUUGGACAAUGGGCGCAAGCCUGAUCCAGCCAUACCGCGUGGGUGAAGAAGGCCUUCGGGUUGUAAAGCCCUUUUGUUGGGAAAGAAAAGCAGCAGGUUAAUACCCCGCUGUUCUGACGGUACCCAAAGAAUAAGCACCGGCUAACUUCGUG
RNAcentral lists this ribosomal RNA (492 nucleotides) under uncultured bacterium. RNAcentral describes it as "partial 16S ribosomal RNA". It matches the Rfam family "Bacterial small subunit ribosomal RNA", at positions 29 to 507 of the family's 1533-position model. The record is from RNAcentral.